This is an RNA transcript of Brassica rapa (field mustard), 2741 nucleotides long. RefSeq lists it as uncharacterized. Lineage: Eukaryota; Viridiplantae; Streptophyta; Magnoliopsida; Brassicales; Brassicaceae. The record is from RefSeq and is a predicted model, not a curated record.
UGAAUGCUCUUUGCUAAAAGUUUACAUAUAUCUCUAACACAUUUGUAUAUGCAUGGUCGGUCAUCCACGAUCACAAAUCAAUACAAAGAAAAUCUGUUCAUGAAAUUGUAUAUAGCUUUUUUUUUUGUACCAAACUAUACAGAUAUGAAAUUAUCUAACAAAAUCUAUGGUGCAGAAAAACCAUGGUUUGGAGGAAUGAUUUAGUGAAUUACACUUGUGGAGAAAUGAUGAACAUGCAAGAUUCACAUGAAUACAUGUGAAGAUUAUUGAUCUUUAAUGGAAUACACAUGCACAUUGCAUAUUUGUUUCACAUGACUAAAAUCCUAUUCUAAAAGUUUGAUGAAAAUCUACUCCAUCCUGAAUUCCUGAUGAGGUCUUGUUAUCUGAAAAAGGUGUUUAGACUCCUCAUAAUUCAUAACAUGUGUAACAUACAACCGGUUAAUAACUAACAAAAAAGUGAAAUGCAAAUGACUAUAAAAGUGUUAGAACGAACCCUUGUUCAAGGCAAGAAUCCAAUUCUGUACUGUUAUAUUCUUCUCCCAACAACCCCACUAGGGUUUUAGGACAUGUUAUGAAACAAAAAGAAAUAUUUGACUUACACAAAAGUGGAAGUUUUAGUUUUACAAAUUUUAAAUAAUCGGAUCUUAGCAAAUAAGAAGACUUCCAUGAGUAUUACCAAAAAAAAAAAAAAUUCCAUUAGCUUUAGUUCAAAGAAAAAGAGAAGAUUGUCGUUACAAAAAACAAAUGAAAAUACAAAUAAAAUAAUAACACAAGUAACAUUUUACACGUGCAGGAAAAACGAGAUGUAAAGUUGUGUUCUGUCCAAAUUUCGCCGUUCCGUUGCCAGCUUUUCUCUCGUAUGUUCAUGAUCCUUCUCUCUCUUCGACCACGACACAUACGUAACACAACACGCGAUACACGCACACACUCAUAUUUAUAUAAAUCAAAUCGACUAGCUCAAUCACAUCAUCAUCAAUAACUUCAGAAGCCUUUAAUUACAGCUUUACUCACAAUUAAAAGAUGGAGAUGCAAAGUAAUUGCGACUUGGAACUUCGCCUUCUUCCUCCUCGUGAUCCACGCAGCUCUGAGAAGCUACAACCAAAGCAAGAACCUCAGAAAAUGGUUAUUUUCUACAACGGUCGCGUAUUUGUUUCUUCAGAUCUUACCCAUCUCCAGGCAAAAGCUAUAUUAUCACUAGCAAGUGGAGACAUGAAAGAAAAAUCAUUAUCAUUGGAAAGUUCAGACGGCUCGGAUCCUUCAACAGUCCCUAACAUUUUGACCCGAAAAGCCUCCAUGAAGAGAUCUCUUCGUAGUUUUCUUCAGAAACGGAAUGUUCGGAUCCAGGCUUCUUGUCCUUACCACCAUUCUUGAUAAUUUUUGUUUAUUUUUAUUUCAGUUUUAUAUUUUUCAUGUUAAGACAUUACCGCUAGCACAGUGUUUUUUUUUUGCUUAUACGGAUUGAUUUUCCGUGUUCUUGACGGAUUACAAAUACUUGAAUUGUUGAAGAGUUAGUUUGGCCAAGAACUUAAAUGUGUACUAUAGAGAUAAUUAUGUCCUAUAAUGCUCAGCGGUUAGAAAUUUCCAUCAGCUCAAACUGGCUUCGGAGUCCAUAAGAUUUUUGAGGCAUAAGGAACUAUAUCCUUUGCGAUAUAGGACUGAUACUGAUAUUUCUUCAUCACAAUAUCAGAUAUUUCAAUCGCUAUUCGAUCUCAUGCAGAUGAGACAAAGUUCAACUCUUCAAAUGAUGUCUCAAAUUAAAAGUUAUAAUUCUUGGAGGGUACAUAACUGCCGGUGCAAAAGCCAAUUUAUCAAAGGUGAGCCGGAGUUUUUGAAUACUUUUGGAGCUUUACAUAAAGGAAUCUAUAGAGAGUUCUAAUAUUCAUUCACACAAUUAAUUAGAUAAAAAUUUAGAUAAAAUGGUAUUUGCCACAAUCUAUAGAUUCCUUUAUGUAAAUGAAUAUUAGAAAACUCUAUAAAUUUAGAUAAAAUGGUAUUAGAACAACAAUUUUUUUUGAGUGUUGAUGGUUUAAUUAAAAGCAAAAAUAUUUUUCGUGUUUUAGGUGUCUAAAUAAAUAGGACCGGACGGACCUGCCACUAGUCUAAAGUAGGUUCUUUCACAAUAAUAUUAUAUCAUAUAAACUUUACGUACGGUAGGUGGUAUAUAUUGAAAAUUAGGAAAUUUGUAAAAUGAUAAAAGGUGAGGUUUCAAGCUGUAUUUUGGAAGCUUUGUGAAAAGCGGAUUAAGAUCAGUAAAGAGAUCUAGUACUGAUCAAGAAGAUAUGUAUGGAAAGCAAGAUGAACCAAAUUGAAAAAGAAUUAAAGCAAAAAAAAAAAAAUUGAAAAAGAAGCAGCUGGUGAGAAAGAAGAAACGAAGAAGUUGCAAAUCACUCUACGAAAAAACUCAGAGGUCUUUGUUUGUUAAAACAAUACGAAUCAAAAAACUUGAUCAGUUGGGGUCAUAAUAUACACAAAAUGUUCAAUAUACACUGGUUGGUUGUGAUAGAGUUUUGUGGCUAAUGAGAUGUUCAAUGUUGGUGUAACUCAUACCCAAUUCAAUUUUUCCUCCAAUAUCCUUUAAGUUAAUAGCUACAGAUUAUAAUAGCGCAACUUUAAAUAGGUCCUCAUUUCUUUAAAUCUUUUAUAUCCUUCCAUAUAUAUUUUGUGGAAUAUAUAUGCCAGUAUGCCAACAUUAGAUGAGCUUUUUUGCCAGUAAGUCAGAAAUAGCCGAACGAAUAAAAAAA